AGAGUUUGAUCCUGGCUCAGAACGAACGCUGGCGGCGUGCUUAACACAUGCAAGUCGAACGAGAAAGUUUCCUUCGGGAAACGAGUAAAGUGGCGCACGGGUGAGUAACGCGUAGAUAACCUGCCCUUGUGUCUGGGAUAACCCACCGAAAGGUGGACUAAUACCGGAUACGAUGGUCAGCCGUAGGGUUGAUCAUGAAAGAUGGCCUCUGAUGUAAGCUAUCGCACGAGGAGGGGUCUGCGUACCAUUAGCUAGUUGGUGGGGUAAUGGCCUACCAAGGCGACGAUGGUUAGCGGGUCUGAGAGGAUGAUCCGUCACACUGGCACUGAAACACGGGCCAGACUCCUACGGGAGGCAGCAGUGAGGAAUAUUGCGCAAUGGGGGAAACCCUGACGCAGCGACGCCGCGUGAGUGAGGAAGGCCUUCGGGUCGUAAAACUCUGUCAGAAGGGAAGAAAUGCAUCGAGGUUAAUACCCUUGUUGUUGACGGUACCUCAG
Molecule: ribosomal RNA, 497 nt
Filed under: uncultured bacterium
Lineage: Bacteria
Description: bacterial SSU rRNA
Rfam family: Bacterial small subunit ribosomal RNA
Source: RNAcentral